RNAcentral lists this ribosomal RNA (287 nucleotides) under Hydatigera taeniaeformis. Its description in RNAcentral is "partial 12S ribosomal RNA". Lineage: Eukaryota; Metazoa; Platyhelminthes; Cestoda; Cyclophyllidea; Taeniidae. The record is from RNAcentral.
GUACUAUUAUAAUAUGUCUUAGAAAAAUAACUAAAAUAAUUUGGCAGUGAGCGAUUCUUUUUAGGGGAAGGUGUGGUGUAAAGGAUGAUCCGCCUAAUAAUUUACUUUUAUUAUAUUGGUGUAUAUCUGGUUUAAUAUUAUUGCUGAAUGGCAGAAGUUGUGUAGUGUUAUUUAAGCCAAGUCUAUGUGCUGUUUAUAAAAGUAUUCAUGCGUUACAUUAAUAAGUAUUUAAUUGUAAUAUUAGAUGAUUUAGGACUUAAAAGUAAUGUUUAAUUAAUUAGUAAAUG